GAUGAACGCUAGCUACAGGCUUAACACAUGCAAGUCGCGGGGCAGCAUGGAGGUUGCUUGCAACCUCUGAUGGCGACCGGCGCACGGGUGCGUAACGCGUAUCCAACCUGCCCCUUACUCUGGAAUAGCCCGGCGAAAGUCGGAUUAAUGCCGGAUGUUGUCAGACGAGGACAUCUGAAUCUGACCAAAGGCCCGAAAGGGUUGGUAAGGGAUGGGGAUGCGUCUGAUUAGGUUGUUGGCGGGGUAACGGCCCACCAAGCCGUCGAUCAGUAGGGGUUCUGAGAGGAAGGUCCCCCACACUGGUACUGAGACACGGACCAGACUCCUACGGGAGGCAGCAGUGAGGAAUAUUGGUCAAUGGGCGCGAGCCUGAACCAGCCAAGUAGCGUGCAGGACGACUGCCCUAUGGGUUGUAAACUGCUUUUAUGCGGGGAUAAAGUGACGUACGUGUACGUUUUUGCAGGUACCGCAUGAAUAAGGACCGGCUAAUUCCGUGCCAGCAGCCGCGGUAAUACGGAAGGUCCUGGCGUUAUCCGGAUUUAUUGGGUUUAAAGGGAGCGCAGGCGGGAGGUUAAGCGUGACGUGAAAUGUAGCCGCUCAACGGCUGAACUGCGUCGCGAACUGGCUUUCUUGAGUGAGUACGACGUCAGCGGAAUUCGUGGUGUAGCGGUGAAAUGCUUAGAUAUCACGAAGAACCCCGAUUGCGAAGGCAGCUGACGAGUCCUUUACUGACGCUAAAGCUCGAAGGUGCGGGUAUCGAACA
Molecule: ribosomal RNA, 763 nt
Filed under: uncultured bacterium
Lineage: Bacteria
Description: bacterial SSU rRNA
Rfam family: Bacterial small subunit ribosomal RNA
Source: RNAcentral